This 305-nucleotide ribosomal RNA is filed under the name uncultured bacterium. RNAcentral's name for it is "bacterial SSU rRNA". It matches the Rfam family "Bacterial small subunit ribosomal RNA", at positions 335 to 638 of the family's 1533-position model. The record is from RNAcentral.
UGCCCUACGGGAGGCAGCAGUGAGGAAUAUUGGUCAAUGGGCUUACGCCUGAACCAGCCAAGUCGCGUGAGGGAAGACUGCCCUAUGGGUUGUAAACCUCUUUUGUCAGGGAGCAACGCCGGCUACGUGUAGCCGGACUGAGAGUACCUGAAGAAAAAGCAUCGGCUAACUCCGUGCCAGCAGCCGCGGUAAUACGGAGGAUGCGAGCGUUAUCCGGAUUUAUUGGGUUUAAAGGGUGCGUAGGCGGAAUGCCAAGUCAGCGGUAAAAAUGCGGUGCUCAACGCCGUAUCGCCGUUGAAACUGCG